AUGCUCUUCUGUAGCCAACCCGUUAUAAUGACCACAGAUGAGGGCCUGAGGCUCUUAGGCUCAUCCAAGCCUGUGAAGCAUUUGCUGACUUUUUUCCAUCUGCAACUUUUGCUCUUUUUCUUCCUUUUGAUGGAAGAUGACUGUGGCUGGGUUCUCCUUAUUCCUCAUGGUGGAGAGGAGCUUCCUUCACCUAAACAGCUGGGCUGUAAAUCACCAGGGAUGCUGAGAUGUGGCAGUGGUUUAACACUGGGAAACAAGAAGCAUCAGUCUAAAAUUACCAGGAAGGUGAUGUUCCCUGGCCCGUGCUAUGCAUCACACCCAUCCCUGCUGGCACCACCAUCCGUUAUUCAGCCGUGCCUGUCACGCAGGACUCCUGAAGCUGAUUCUGCCUUGAGAUUUCUCAGCCUGGUGAAGGACAUAAACCUCAGGCCUGAAAUACUAUUGCAGCACACCUGUGCACUCCCUGCACCCACUCACCCCCACGAUGGGGAUGAGGUUCUUUGAUUUUGUAACCUACAAUGUUAGAACAUAAUGCUGACUUGUUUUACAACCUUUUUGUCACUCGAGUAAAUGAAGUCUCCAAUUUUAAAGGGAUCACUUCUAUUUUUUAUUGGAUUUUUGUUCAGCGUGCGGAACUCUUCCCUGUUAUGGAUCUGGGUUUAAUUGAAGUUCCAUUAUCUUGAUCUUUUCCGGUUUAAUUUUGGUCUGACCUUGAUGUUCUUGGGAUGCUGCAUCUCAGCCGCAGCUUGGGCCAGUGCUGUGAGCUGCACCUACAGAAGCACCUUUCUUCUUAACACAGGGACGCUUGCAGAUUAGUUUGUGUUCUUUCUGUUUAUUCUUUAUAGCUGAGCAGGAUCUAAGCUGUCCCGUUAUGUUGUAGACACCCCCACUGCAAUCAUCUGCGGGGUCUGCAGGGUUUGUGGACAGGGUAGGUGGAGGAGCUGCAGUUCUGAGGUCAGUUGGGCUGCUGGGCUCAGAGGAGGCACAGACAACCCGCUUUGGGGAGAGAACCAGAAUCCUUCAAACAGCUCCUGGUGAUGUGUGGCUCCUAAAAUACAGCCCAAGUCACUAAACCUGCCCCCUCAGCAUGCUUAGCAUCUGCAAGUGUUUCGGUGGCAUUACCACAGUUAGGCUGUAAGUGAUAAACAUCCUGGAUGAGGUUCCUCCCCCCUCAUCAGAGCCUCAUAAAGCACGUCAGAACGAUAACAUUUAAUGCCUCGUGCCCUGUGGUGAGGUGUUGUGAAGAGCUGUUCAUGGAGAACUCCCUCCCGUCCUUCACCUCCGUUACGCUCCCUGGGGGAGACACUGCUGGUCUGUAUGCCCCCAUAGGGCCCAGGAGAUGCUUCGAUACCUGGGAAACCCCGAGCUGCAGGUUCAGACACCUCUGGCACCACAAUGAGGUGAGUGCUGAGGUAUCAGCAGGGACCCCUGUGCUCUGCAGGGGCCCUCUCCUCCCUCCCUCCAAACCCCUGCUUGCACCCAGCUCCACGGGGGUAAGCCAGGG
Molecule: long non-coding RNA, 1504 nt
Filed under: Anser cygnoides (Swan goose)
Lineage: Eukaryota; Metazoa; Chordata; Aves; Anseriformes; Anatidae
Description: lncRNA (ENSACDG00005012924.1)
Source: RNAcentral